UGUUUUUACCGUAACAUCAGCCUGAACCUGAAUGGCAAAAUUCCUGAAUGCAUGCCAGCAUGCAAUAACUGCUGUACCUCCAGCACCAGAGGCGACAAAAGCAGAGGGGAAAAAACAACUUAUUUUUGGCCUGUCCUUCAGAUAAAAAUGGCAGUUAUCUCAACUUACAAGAUCCAAUCAAUGGCCACAAUCAGCGUGAUGUCAUCCGCUGGCAAUCCGACAGAUGUCAGCACUAUCACCAUGGUUACAAGGCCUGCCUGAGGGAUUCCAGCGGCACCUAUGCUGGCAGCGGUCGCCGUUAUACUGCAGGAAAUCAGAACAGGGCCUAGUUCUUCAUACCUGGAUGAUGUGGCGAGAGCGAUGACCAUGGCUUGCAGAAGCCCUCUGAUGUAUGUGAAAGGAUUUUUCCAUGUCAGAAUGAAAUAGAAGAAUGGAAGCAAGAUGAGGCCGUGCACAA
Cyprinus carpio (common carp) is the source of this 457-nucleotide long non-coding RNA. RefSeq lists it as uncharacterized. The transcript has 3 exons. The record is from RefSeq and is a predicted model, not a curated record. NCBI's taxonomy places the organism in Eukaryota, Metazoa, Chordata, Actinopteri, Cypriniformes, Cyprinidae.